AUUGAACGCUGGCGGCAUGCCUUACACAUGCAAGUCGAACGGUAACGGGCCUUCGGGUGCCGACGAGUGGCGAACGGGUGAGUAAUGCAUCGGAACGUACCUUUCAGUGGGGGAUAACGUAGCGAAAGUUACGCUAAUACCGCAUAUUCUGUGAGCAGGAAAGCAGGGGAUCGCAAGACCUUGCGCUGAUUGAGCGGCCGAUGUCAGAUUAGCUAGUUGGUGAGGUAAAGGCUCACCAAGGCGACGAUCUGUAGCGGGUCUGAGAGGAUGAUCCGCCACACUGGAACUGAGACACGGUCCAGACUCCUACGGGAGGCAGCAGUGGGGAAUUUUGGACAAUGGGCGCAAGCCUGAUCCAGCCAUGCCGCGUGCGGGAAGAAGGCCUCGGUGUAACCGACUUUGUCUAGGGAAGAAACGGACUACU
Molecule: ribosomal RNA, 424 nt
Filed under: uncultured bacterium
Lineage: Bacteria
Description: bacterial SSU rRNA
Rfam family: Bacterial small subunit ribosomal RNA
Source: RNAcentral